AUGACGAGAAGCUUGCUUCUCUGAUUUAGCGGCGGACGGGUGAGUAACACGGUGGGCAACCUGCCCUACAGAUCGGGAUAACUCAGGGAAACCUGGGCUAAUACCGGAUAAUCCUUCGAAUCACAUGUUUUGAAGUUGAAAGGCGCUUCGGCGUCACUGUAGGAUGGGCCCGCGGUGCAUUAGCUAGUUGGUGGGGUAACGGCCUACCAAGGCAACGAUGCAUAGCCGACCUGAGAGGGUGAUCGGCCACAUUGGGACUGAGACACGGCCCAAACUCCUACGGGAGGCAGCAGUAGGGAAUCUUCCACAAUGGACGAAAGUCUGAUGGAGCAACGCCGCGUGAGUGAUGAAGGUUUUCGGAUCGUAAAACUCUGUUGUAAGGGAAGAACAAGUACGUUAGGAAAUGAACGUACCUUGACGGUACCUUAUUAGAAAGCCACGGCUAACUACGUGCCAGCAGCCGCGGUAAUACGUAGGUGGCAAGCGUUGUCCGGAUUUAUUGGGCGUAAAGCGCGCGCAGGUGGUUUCUUAAGUCUGAUGUGAAAGCCCACGGCUCAACCGUGGAGGGUCAUUGGAAACUGGGGAACUUGAGUGCAGAAGAGGAUAGUGGAAUUCCAAGUGUAGCGGUGAAAUGCGUAGAGAUUUGGAGGAACACCAGUGGCGAAGGCGACUGUCUGGUCUGUAACUGACACUGAGGCGCGAAAGCGUGGGGAGCAAACAG
Molecule: ribosomal RNA, 721 nt
Filed under: Kocuria sp. SK76.1
Lineage: Bacteria; Bacillati; Actinomycetota; Actinomycetes; Micrococcales; Micrococcaceae
Description: bacterial SSU rRNA
Rfam family: Bacterial small subunit ribosomal RNA
Source: RNAcentral